ACGAAUCCCUUCGGGGAUUAGUGGCGGACGGGUGAGUAGCGCGUGAGAAUCUGCCUUCAGGUUCGGGACAACCACUGGAAACGGUGGCUAAUACCGAAUGUGCCGCAACGUGAAAGAUUUAUCGCCUGAAGAUGAGCUCGCGUCCGAUUAGCUAGUUGGUGAGGUAAAAGCUCACCAAGGCGACGAUCGGUAGCUGGUCUGAGAGGAUGACCAGCCACACUGGGACUGAGACACGGCCCAGACUCCUACGGGAGGCAGCAGUGGGGAAUUUUCCGCAAUGGGCGCAAGCCUGACGGAGCAAGACCGCGUGAGGGAGGAAGGCUCUUGGGUUGUAAACCUCUUUUCUCAGGGAAGAAGAAAGUGACGGUACCUGAGGAAUCAGCCUCGGCUAACUCCGUGCCAGCAGCCGCGGUAAUACGGAGGAGGCAAGCGUUAUCCGGAAUUAUUGGGCGUAAAGCGUCCGUAGGUGGUUAUGUAAGUCUGCUGUCAAAGCACAGGGCUUAGCCCUGUAAAGGCAGUGGAAACUACAAGACUCGAGUGCGGUAGGGGCAGAGGGAAUUCCCAGUGUAGCGGUGAAAUGCGUAGAGAUUGGGAAGAACACCUGUGGCGAAAGCGCUCUGCUGGACCGCAACUGACACUCAGGGACGAAAGCUAGGGGAGCGAAUGGGAUUAGAUACCCCAGUAGUCCUAGCCGUAAACGAUGGAUACUAG
This 711-nucleotide ribosomal RNA is filed under the name uncultured cyanobacterium. RNAcentral describes it as "bacterial SSU rRNA". It matches the Rfam family "Bacterial small subunit ribosomal RNA", at positions 66 to 819 of the family's 1533-position model. The record is from RNAcentral. Lineage: Bacteria; Bacillati; Cyanobacteriota.